CAAGCCCAGAUAACCUUUUUACCUAAUGGAUCACCUAAGGGAUUACCAGGCAUAAUAGCGGUAUUGGUGCCAAGAGAAGAAUGGCGCUUCUGUUCUGUAAUAACAAAUGCAAACCCUAAGGAUGAAUCCUUAUUUGACAUUCCAGGAGUAUUGGCAGAAAAUAAUCCUCCAGGACUUGCUCGUAACAUCCCACCGAUACAUAUUGAGUUAAAGCUCGG
Pelobates cultripes (western spadefoot toad) is the source of this 218-nucleotide non-coding RNA. The record is from the annotation of a GenBank genome assembly. NCBI's taxonomy places the organism in Eukaryota, Metazoa, Chordata, Amphibia, Anura, Pelobatidae.